AUUGAACGCUGGCGGCAGGCCUAACACAUGCAAGUCGAGCGGAUGAAGGGAGCUUGCUCCUGGAUUCAGCGGCGGACGGGUGAGCAAUGCCUAGGAAUCUGCCUGGUAGUGGGGGAUAACGUCCGGAAACGGGCGCUAAUACCGCAUACGUCCUGAGGGAGAAAGUGGGGGAUCUUCGGACCUCACGCUAUCAGAUGAGCCUAGGUCGGAUCAGCUAGUUGGUGGGGUAAAGGCCUACCAAGGCGACGAUCCGUAACUGGUCUGAGAGGAUGAUCAGUCACACUGGAACUGAGACACGGUCCAGACUCCUACGGGAGGCAGCAGUGGGGAAUAUUGGACAAUGGGCGAAAGCCUGAUCCAGCCAUGCCGCGUGUGUGAAGAAGGUCUUCGGAUUGUAAAGCACUUUAAGUUGGGAGGAAGGGCAGUAAGUUAAUACCUUGCUGUUUUGACGUUACCAACAGAAUAAGCACCGGCUAACUUCGUG
This 484-nucleotide ribosomal RNA is filed under the name uncultured bacterium. Its description in RNAcentral is "partial 16S ribosomal RNA". It matches the Rfam family "Bacterial small subunit ribosomal RNA", at positions 30 to 507 of the family's 1533-position model. The record is from RNAcentral.